AUGCCGCUGGAGCGCGCCGACAGGCUCAACCUCUCCGAGCUCCUCGGGGCCAACCUCGGCAUCAAGCGCCAGGACCUGCAGCCGCUUGUGUACAAAGUUCUCCUGAAAGUGCCUUUACCCUGCAUACCACCUCUGAUCUCUGCUGGAAACCAUGCUCGAGGAGUUGUUCUUUCUGCCCGAAGACUGGGCUGUCACGCCGUUAUUGUCAUGCCUGUGACAACACCAGAAAUCAAGUGGCAGUCAGUGGAGAGAUUGGGUGCAACAGUUGUUCUCAGAGAUUCAUACGAUGAAGCUCAAUCAUAUGCAAAACUACUCUGUGAGGAGGAAGGCCGCACAUUCAUACCUCCUUUUGACCAUCCCGACAUUAUUGGUGGACAUGGAACUGUUGGCAUGGAAAUUGUUCGCGAAUUGCAAGGUCCAUUGAAUGAAAUAUUUGUACCUAUGGGAGGUGGUGGGUUAAUUGCUGCAAUUCCUGCCUCUGUGAGACUGGUCCGCCCUGAGGUCAAAAUAAUUGGAGUGGAGCCCUCAGAUGAAAAUACCAUGGCAUUGUCCUUGUAUCAUGGCCAUAGGGUCAAGUUAGAACAUGUUGGAGGGUUUGCUGAUGGUGUAGCUGUCAAAGUUGUAGGCGAGGAGGAAUUUCGCUUUUGUCAAGGACUUGUAGGUGGCACUGUCCUGUUCAGCCGAGAUGCUAUCCGUGCGUCAAUAAAGGAUAUGUUUGAGGACAGGAAUAUCCUUGAACCUGCUGGGCCCCUUGCCUUGGCAGGGGUUGAAUCUUACUGCAAAUACUACGGUUUGAAAGGGGAAACUGUGGUUGCAAUAAGUAGUGGCGCAAAUAUGAACUGUGGUUGCAAAGCUGAACCGGGGAAGGCCAAAAUUGUCGCAGUUGCAGCCGAUGGCAAGCAAUGUGAGGAUAGCUGUAGACGCUGUUGCAGAGAUGGGGAAAAGCCGCUGGCGUGGCUGAACGCGGGGCUGGACACCGCCACCCGGAUCAUCAAGCUCGUGGCGGCGGGGCUCGGCUUAUAUGUGACAGCGCAGCACCCGCUGUUGGUCACGCGCUUGGAGGCCUGGCUGCUCGCCAUGGUGCGUUUCAUCCUCGUUGGAUUUCAUUCGCUCUUAUCAUAUGGUUGUCUCUUUACUUUUCAUUCCACAACACGCCUGACGGUAGAGGAAAGGGGACGAGACUUGGAGAGACAGAAGAUGAGAGACAGAGAACAACAGGUGAGAUUCAGAUACAUGCUCGUUCAUGCCAACUCCUCUGUUCGGUUCAGGUUAAAUACCCACACGCCGCCAGCCUGGCCAUAG
RNAcentral lists this ribosomal RNA (1302 nucleotides) under Triticum aestivum (bread wheat). RNAcentral's name for it is "partial small subunit ribosomal RNA". The record is from RNAcentral. Lineage: Eukaryota; Viridiplantae; Streptophyta; Magnoliopsida; Poales; Poaceae.